Long non-coding RNA from Myotis davidii, 1116 nucleotides. RefSeq lists it as uncharacterized. Lineage: Eukaryota; Metazoa; Chordata; Mammalia; Chiroptera; Vespertilionidae. The transcript has 4 exons. The record is from RefSeq and is a predicted model, not a curated record.
CAUCUGUUUGAGGCCAACACACCUUGUGCUUCUAGGUUAAAGAAGAUUCCCUCAACUGAAUAUGCUGACAAGAUAGAAGAGCCGCCCCGCACCCUCCACCCUCGCCCGCCGCUCCCCAAGAGGUGAUGAUGGAUCCUUUUAGAGAAGAAAGUACCAACCAUCUUAAAGUCCAUCCCUCCAGUCACAGGAGCCCAAAACCGUGCGAAUCCCUAGAGAGAGCCCACCCGAUGCCUCUCGUCAGUGAGGUAGAUGGUCAUCUUGCUCGAGGUAUCACGGUGCCAGCCCACAGCACAGCGGAACAGGAACGCAGCUGCCUGGCUGAAGGCACAACUGCCUCAGGGCCGUAACAAGCACACAGCAACUCAUCACCGGCAGCAGGCGGCUCUGAGAACAGCUGGCCCACGGAGAUGGACUCCUGCCUGCACACCACCAGCUUCCCUGGCUUCCCAACACAGCACGUGACAUCCAACUGCCACCACACACACUUCUACAAGUGGGGCUUGCUCCUGUCCCCAUGGGAAUCUGAGAUGGGUGGACGGAUGAGACAAACAGCUCAGACUGAGUGUGAGGAGAUGAAACGACAAGAGAGGCUGCAAAGCAAAAAGUUUAAAAUGAUACCAAGGAGAUAAGAAAUGGAAGGUAAAGGUUAAACCGAGAAGAGGGACAGGAUCAGGACAGAGGCUCCUAAGACGUCGCACUAAUCAUUCUAAGGACAUCCUAAUCAUCACUGUUCACCUGACGCUAUCAUCGAGGUCUCAGCACUUCCACCCUUUCCUUCCACAUCAGCCCACUUCCUGCUCUAACACAGAUGCCCUGCAAGGGCAGAUGACAGCACAUCGUAGAGAUCCAGUGAGUCACAGAGGAAGGAGUCAGGGUAGCAGAGUUCUCCUCCUUGCCCCACCAUCAGCCUCUCACAAGGGAAACUAAAGCUGCACUGACCAACUGUUUUGCACCUAUCAGCCUAGAGUCUGGCACCUCCAUGUGUUGGCACACUCUUGCACACUGCCGAACUUUUAUAAUAGUAAAGGAUUAGAAACACCAUACAUGUCUAUUAGUACCAGGCUGGUUAAGUAAAUUAUGAUGGAAUAAUAUGCCACUAUAAAAAAAAGAAAGGAA